AUGUCGCCUGCCGGAAAGAAAGGUACUCUGGAACAUCGUUGGGGGAACAAACCUUCCAGAAAUAUUGGAUAUGUGCGUCCUCUGAGGCCUGCAGUUCGUCCCAGGUUCCCUGUUGUCUGUCCGGAGUCUGUGCUCCCCAGGCCGCAUAGGGAACCCAUGUAUGUGACUUUUGUCAGCAAAGCCGUGCUGUGGGACAGAGAGCUCCACCACACCUCUGUCCGGGAUGGCUCUCUUAGGCGUCCCUCUGUGUGUCCACGGUUCCUGUCCCACAUGAAGGUUCCUGCUGGAGAAGACCUUCACGCUUUGCGUUUUCUGAACUCCAUGUCCAUGCAGCAGCUUCCAUCCGAGGAGGAGAUGUUUCACCUCGCGUCCACAAAGACCCGAAGUCCUGAAGGGCUCUUCUAUACCAAAGAUGGCAGAGAGCAGAAGGCUACAGGCAGUCCUUUUCUGCCUGAAGGAAGGCGUUCUGCUGCCGGCGUCUGUGUCCAAAUUCCCACUACUCCACCUCCAUCCCGCUUUCGUUCAACUCCUCCCCAAAAAAGUACACCUCCUCCUGACUCUGGCAACUCCGUUCCAACUCCUGUUUCCUCCCACCCUCCUUGCACCUGUUCUCCACGGAGAACGGAUGAAUCGCUGAACGAGAAGGAGGAGGUUCUACAGUCCGCCCCGGUGAAACUGGACUCUGAGCUCAGCUUGGGACCUGCAGGACUGUCACCGUCCUCCCUCUCACAGGGGUCUUUCUCACUGUCAAGCCGUCCACUCUCCAGCUUGUUCAGCUGCAGCACUGACCUCUGCAGCAGCAGACACAGCCGUCUGAGUGGAAACACUGCCGAAUUCACGGAUUCAGAUCCAGAAGACGCCUUUAGCUUCUCUUCAGAUCAGCUGGUGAAGCAAGUUUCUCUGGCGUCUGAUCCUCUAACGGGAUCGAGCCGUCAUCUGUCCUGUCGCAGCCUCUCAGCCGCCUCCACUCCUCUCGCUGAGUCUGUUUAUCAACCAGAACCACCCUCCCCGGUCUCAAGGCAGGGGAUCGAUUCUGCUGUGGACGAACCUCAAACGAGCAGCAGGAGCUUUGGAAAAGCAGAUGUCGACCCAGAAACACCUGUAGAAGCUUCUCUUGGAACCUGUGCAACCCCUUCUUCCACCGCCCCCUGCCUUAGUCCAGAGAGGACCACUCCCUAUUCCAGACUAGAGAUGACCUUUUCUCCUUCAGGAUCUCGUCUGGGGUCCCACCGCUGGCCCGUCCUGCCCCCCAUCAGAGGACAUUCAUCAUCGUCCUCCUCAUCCUCAUCUCAUUGCUCUGGGUUGAGCUGCAGCAUGUCCCACAUUUUUGAUGACCUGGAGGCCAUUGCUCCUCCGUCCCCGUCCUGUCUUUCUCUGGAUGAGCCUUCAGACUCCUCUCGGUCUCUUUCACCCAACACAGAACUGUCUCCGGGCCUCGCAGCACUCACAGUGGGUUGUGACUCCGGAGAUUUGGGUUCUCUUUCCCGGGUGCAGCUCCUCCUCCUGGACCGACCAGUACCAGACACUCAUCUGAACCCGUCUGAGUUGGAGGAGGGGUUUUCCCCUUUGCCAGAUUGGUGUGAUCCAAUAGUGCCGUACGAUUACACAGGAUUGGUCUGCGAGUCCUUUGGGGUCACCAUCCUCAUGGAUCAUAGAACCACCGUUGGACAUGCUCAGAUCUUCUGA
This 1686-nucleotide long non-coding RNA is filed under the name Oryzias sinensis (Chinese medaka). RNAcentral's name for it is "lncRNA (ENSOSIG00000007242.1)". Lineage: Eukaryota; Metazoa; Chordata; Actinopteri; Beloniformes; Adrianichthyidae. The record is from RNAcentral.